Molecule: long non-coding RNA, 398 nt
Organism: Sander lucioperca (pikeperch)
Lineage: Eukaryota; Metazoa; Chordata; Actinopteri; Perciformes; Percidae
Exons: 2
Source: RefSeq, a predicted model, not a curated record
ACUCGCCUGGAAGUAGGUCAAGGGGCGUGGCUGGAGCUCUACCUCUCUGUACAGCUGCUGGUGAUUCCACUGAUUCUUACCUGCGCAGCUGUCUCUAAUUCCACUCUCCUACCUGGCAGUAUUUAUUCCUGGGCAUGGCUCUCCACCGGCGCCAGAUCGUUGCACCUACCAGUGUGACCUACACCUCGAGACCUGCUGCCGUGGCUUGCCGUGUCGCCAGCUCAUCACACUCCUGUUUUUCUACCCUCUCGUUUGGAUUUCUGCAAGAGAGUUUGGACGUUCCUCUGCCUGCCCGCCUCAGCCCCUUUCCAGCCCGGAGCCGACCUACUUUGUAUCCGCAUUCCUUGGUUACUUUUAAAGAACUGAACUUUCAUUAAAACAUUUUUGUUAUAUCAUUA